This is a long non-coding RNA of Gallus gallus (chicken), 1919 nucleotides long. The record is from Ensembl. Lineage: Eukaryota; Metazoa; Chordata; Aves; Galliformes; Phasianidae.
UUCCUCCUAAUAUCUAAGCUAAACCUCCCCUGUCUCAGAACCUGUAGUAUCUUUGGCUGGUGGAGGUGCAGCUGAAAGGGCCACCUCCUUGUAUGCUCUCUAUCUGCUUCUGGCCACAGCAAAUGUCAGACCACAACACUUGGCUUUCUAGUACUUCUUCCAAACCCUUCAGCAUGCCUUUUCCUCUCUCUUUAGGACAGCAGCUGGUAUUUCAUUCCUUAUGGCCAAAUGUCACCAGAGCAAAUCCCAACAGUUUGCUUUUUUGUUUCAUCGACUUAUGGUUGUGUAGCAAGAGUACAGGUGAAGAGCUGAGUGCUGGCAGAACUUGUGGAACAGAAAGGGAACAUGGGAUCAUGUCUAACUGAUUGCUUCUUUCUGACAAGAAAAUGCAAUGAUUGCCUCCAUGUGUCCUCUUGCUGCAUGCUGAAUGUCUGCACACAUCCUCAGAUGAAGAGCAGUGAUCCCAUUGUAAUGCUCUCCUCUUCUGCUGAAAGACUGUUCGGCCUUCUAUCUCAAGUAAUUUAACCAUAAUCUCAAAGAAGCAGGAAGAGGAAAGGCAGUAUCAGCUCUAGCCAUAAGAAGAAGCCAGCUGCUUUGUAUUAUUCAGGUGGAAGAUGGAACAAAGCCAUUUUGGUCUGGAAUACAGUGGGGGCUCCAGGAGCAGAAAACAAAACUGUUGAAAUGUACUGAAAUGCACAAGCCUAAGAUUAAAGCAAGACUUUAUCAUCCUUCACGUUGCAGCUAUGUCAGCUUCUCCUCACUGAAUUCAGCCAGUCCAUACCAGUUGAAGUUCUGACCCUUCAGACAGAGCCUACAUUUAUUUCUCAGGUGCUCUUUGCAAUUUUGAUUAGUCCUCGUGUAACGUGUCCUAGAGCAGGACUCACUCAGGUCUUCAGGUAAAGUUAUCUCUUCUUAGCGUGUUUUGAUAUUACUUUCAGAAUCACAAAGAAAUGAAAGAGUUAAUAUUCUUUCAGUGGAAAUACUUGUCUUUUCUAGAGUUAAACAUGCUGAGAAGACAAACAAAAUAUGAUGAUAUCCACAACAUGCUCACUGUUCAGCGUGACAGCCCAUGGGUCAGCACAGGGAGAGAUUGUGAUACUGAGUAGACUCCCAGCAUGCCAUGAAGGUUGUCCUCAGGGCAUGUGUUUCUCCUGAACAUUAUGGAAAGAAGCUUGGCUAGAAUAAACAAACUAAUUUCCCUAGACACUGACCCCAAAAAGGGACCUCUGGGGUUCUGACUCCAUGUGAUGUGAGCAGUUCAGUCAAAGAAAGUCACAUAAUUCCCCAGAACUCCAUGGAUCCUCAUCAGAAAGGAUAAUACCUAAAGAUGAUAUUCCCGUGUGCAGCUUGCCCAGAGACAGGAUUUGACUCCUUGAAGAAUGUUGAGGAACAGUGGUUUGCAUGGAUUCUCUUAGAAGUUGCCUACAUACGUGUUGCCUCAUCCAUGCAUCCUCUCCUGAGAAAGCAGAGCUAUGCUGGGUCUGCAAAACCAAUGGCACAGGUAUGCCAUGCAUGUAAACAUAUGCACAGAUUCUCUGUGUGGCCAAAGAGCAUCCAGGUAGCAAAGUAGCCCCUUUAUGUUCUUCAAGUAGUAUGAAGGGGCUGCAACAGCUGCAGAAGACAGGCUCUUUGCCUUAAUUUGAAGGCAUCAUCCUUAAGCCAGGAGAGUCCCUCCACUCUAGCAGAACAAUGUAUCUGCUUUUAUGCCCCAUCAUUAAUAACAGUAAAAAUCUGGUGAUGGUGGGAUAGUGCAGAGUGGGAAUGAUACGUAAUGGAGAAAAUGAACAGCUCUGAGAGUCUUUCACAGUUUUUGAGUUCUGAAACUUUCCCUUUCCCAGUUGUGUAGUGAAGAACAUCUGUUGCAGAAAAGUAACACUGGAGAAUUCCUCCUCAUUCUAAUAAACUUGGUCCUAAGCAUU